CCUACGGGAGGCAGCAGUGAGGAAUAUUGGUCAAUGGACGAGAGUCUGAACCAGCCAAGUAGCGUGAAGGAUGACUGCCCUAUGGGUUGUAAACUUCUUUUAUAAAGGAAUAAAACGAGGCACGUGUGCCUUUUUGCAUGUACCUUAUGAAUAAGGAUCGGCUAACUCCGUGCCAGCAGCCGCGGUAAUACGGAGGAUCCGAGCGUUAUCCGGAUUUAUUGGGUUUAAAGGGAGCGUAGAUGGGUUGGUAAGGCAGGUGGGAAAGUUUGCGGCUCAACCGUAAAAUUGCAAUUGAUACUGGCAGUCUUGAGUACAGUUGAGGUAGGCGGAAUUAGUGGUGUAGCGGUGAAAUGCUUAGAUAUCACGAAGAACCCCGAUUGCGAAGGCAGCUUACUAAACUGUGACUGACAUUGAUGCUCGAAAGUGUGGGUAUCAAACAGGAGUAGAUACCCGAGUAGUC
RNAcentral lists this ribosomal RNA (460 nucleotides) under uncultured bacterium. Its description in RNAcentral is "partial 16S ribosomal RNA". It matches the Rfam family "Bacterial small subunit ribosomal RNA", at positions 338 to 795 of the family's 1533-position model. The record is from RNAcentral.